UAGAGUGUNUCAGAGGGAGGUAGAAUUCCACGUGUAGCAGUGAAAUGCGUAGAGAUGUGGAGGAAUACCGAUGGCGAAGGCAGCNUCCUGGGAUAACACUGACGUUCAUGCCCGAAAGCGUGGGUAGCAAACAGGAUUAGAUACCCUGGUAGUCCACGCCCUAAACGAUGUCGAUUAGCUGUUGGGCAGCAUGACUGCUUAGUAGCGAAGCUAACGCGUGAAAUCGACCGCCUGGGGAGUACGGUCGCAAGAUUAAAACUCAAAGGAAUUGACGGGGACCCGCACAAGCGGUGGAUGAUGUGGAUUAAUUCGAUGCAACGCGAAGAACCUUACCUGGUCUUGACAUGUACGGAACCCUCCAGAGACGGAGGGGUGCCUUCGGGAGCCGUAACACAGGUGCUGCAUGGCUGUCGUCAGCUCGUGUCGUGAGAUGUUGGGUUAAGUCCCGCAACGAGCGCAACCCUUGUCAUUAGUUGCCAUCAUUAAGUUGGGCACUCUAAUGAGACUGCCGGUGACAAGCCGGAGGAAGGUGGGGAUGACGUCAAGUCCUCAUGGCCCUUAUGACCAGGGCUUCACACGUCAUACAAUGGUCGGUACAGAGGGUAGCCAAGCCGCGAGGUGGAGCCAAUCUCACAAAACCGAUCGUAGUCCGGAUUGCACUCUGCAACUCGAGUGCAUGAAGUCGGAAUCGCUAGUAAUCGCAGGUCAGCAUACUGCGGUGAAUACGUUCCCGGGUCUUGUACACACCGCCCGUCACACCAUGGGAGUGGGGGAUACCAGAAGUAGGUAGGGUAACCGCGAGGAGCCCGCUUACCNCGGUAUGCUUCAUG
This 830-nucleotide ribosomal RNA is filed under the name uncultured bacterium. Its description in RNAcentral is "bacterial SSU rRNA". It matches the Rfam family "Bacterial small subunit ribosomal RNA", at positions 642 to 1473 of the family's 1533-position model. The record is from RNAcentral.